GACGAACGCUGGCGGCGUGCUUAACACAUGCAAGUCGAACGGAAAGGCACUGAUUGUGUGGGGUGCUCGAGGGGCGAACGGGUGAGUAACACGUGAGUAACCUGCCCUUGACUUUGGGAUAACUUCAGGAAACUGGGGCUAAUACCGGACAGGAGCUCCUGCUGCAUGGAGGGGGUUGGAAAGUUUCGGCGGGUGGGGAUGGACUCGCGGCUUAUCAGCUUGGUGGUGGGGUAGUGGCUUACCAAGGCUUUGACGGGUAGCCGGCCUGAGAGGGUGACCGGCCACAUGGGGCCUGAGAUACGGCCCAGUCUCCUACGGGAGGCAGCAGUGGCGAACAUUGCACAGUGGGCGCAAGCCUGAUGCAGCAACGCCGCGUGCGGGAUGCCGGCCUUCGGGUUGUAAACCGCUUUCGCCUGUGACGAAGCGUGAGUGACGGUAAUGGAUAAAGAAGCACCGGCUAACUACGUG
Molecule: ribosomal RNA, 468 nt
Filed under: uncultured bacterium
Lineage: Bacteria
Description: partial 16S ribosomal RNA
Rfam family: Bacterial small subunit ribosomal RNA
Source: RNAcentral